ACUCCUACGGGAGGCAGCAGUGGAGAAUCUUGUCCAAUGGGCGAAAGCCUGAGACAGCCACGCCGCGUGCGGGAAGAAGGCCUUCGGGUCGUAAACCGCUUUCAGGAGGGAAGAAGCGCAAGUGACGGUACCUCCAGAAGAAGGACCGGCCAACUACGUGCCAGCAGCCGCGGUAAUACGUAGGGUCCGAGCGUUGUCCGGAAUCAUUGGGCGUAAAGGGCAUGUAGGCGGCCAGGUAAGUCGGAUGUGAAAUCCCGAGGCUCAACUUCGGAACUGCAUCCGGUACUGCCUGGCUUGAGGAAGGUAGAGGAGAGUGGAAUUCCCGGUGUAGCGGUGGAAUGCGCAGAUAUCGGGAGGAACACCAGCGGCGAAGGCGGCUCUCUGGGCCUUUCCUGACGCUGAGAUGCGAAAGUGUGGGUAGCGAACAGGAUUAGAAACCCCUGUAGUCC
Molecule: ribosomal RNA, 449 nt
Filed under: uncultured bacterium
Lineage: Bacteria
Description: bacterial SSU rRNA
Rfam family: Bacterial small subunit ribosomal RNA
Source: RNAcentral